Molecule: long non-coding RNA, 665 nt
Filed under: Mus caroli (Ryukyu mouse)
Lineage: Eukaryota; Metazoa; Chordata; Mammalia; Rodentia; Muridae
Description: lncRNA (MGP_CAROLIEiJ_G0005923.1)
Source: RNAcentral
GGCCACAAAAAUGGGUGUUCCUCUCCUCCUCUGCAGGACUCUUCCUGCUCCGUUGGUGACCAGCCUUUCCCACACCCCACAUCUUGAAGGUCCCAGACCGCCUGCAUGUGCAGCAGCAGGAGGCAGGGUUUGCAUGGCUGCCACCGGGAACAGCUACAGCUCUGAUUCAUAUGCAUGGAGACAUCAUAUUAUUUGGACACAUUCUGCCUGGCCAUCAGUCCAAGUAACCGCAGGGCUCAGGACCCUUAGAGGAUGCUUUCUUUCUCUCUCCCCCACAGCCAGCAGCAUCUUGGCUUCCUGUACUGUCUGCACUAACAGGCCUCUCCUGCCAUCUCCUACACUCUACCUCAAGCAUUGAGCCUCUGCCCCACAUGAGGAGCUAUCUAUUACCCUAUACUGACUUCAUGUUCCCAGCUCACCUCUUGCUGAGACUAUUUAUUGUCUGCCGCCCUCCUUGAGAGUGCCCUGUAUCCCCAUGAGGGGAGCCACAGCAACAUACUUUUGUUGUGUGUCAUCUAGAGCGAUAGCUCUACCCUCCAUAUCCACAGAGACGUAUAGAGACUGGACCCGGAACCAACAGCCAUUGUCAUUCCUCCGUCUCCGUCUUCUUUCCUGCCUUCUUCAGUCAGCUGCUGUUGGCAGAGUCCGUAAUAUGUUUAAUGGAC